GCGGCUGCGCCUGCCCCGCUCCUCCCCUCCCAGUGAUUAGCCGCGCUCCGGCGAGAUGGCGCUGGAGGUGAGGAGUAUGGAGGGCGAUGUGGAAGACGGCGAGCUCUCUGACUCGGAUACUGACAUGCCCGGCGCUGGCUCCCCCGGGGACCCGCAACAGAAAUCACAUGAUGGCAGUGAUUCAGGCAGACUGUUCCAGAGCAGCAUUUCAUCAUGUGCACCAAGUGUUCCUUAUCGAACAACCAAAAGUGUGGACUCAAGUGAUGAAAGCUUUUCUGAAUCUGAUGAUGACAGCUGUCUGUGGAAACGAAAACGACAGAAAUGUUUCAACUUUCCUCCUGCUAAGUCUGAGCCUUUUCAGUUUAGCCAGAGCCACCAAAACCAAACUGCUCCAGGUGGCAAGAAGGUCAACAACAUUUGGGGUGUUGUGCUCCAGGAGCAGAAUCAGGAUGCAGUGGCUGCUGAACUUGGGAUUCUAGGCAUGGAUGGUAGUAUUGACAGAAGCAGGCAGUCUGAGACUUACAAUUAUUUAUUGGCUAAAAAGCUGAUGAAGGAAGCUCAGCAAAAGGAGGCAGAGACAUUAGAUAAAGAACUGGAUGAAUACAUGCAUGAUGACAAGAAAACAUUGCCAGCAGAAGAAGAAAAUGGGCAAAGUUUUCUCAAACGGAAGCGGCCUGUAAAAGAUAGACUGGGUGAAAGACAAGAAAUGAAAUACAAAGGAAGGUAUGAGGUAACAGAAGAAGAUUCAGAGGAAAAAGUGGCAGAUGAAAUUGCUUAUCGGCUUUGCGAGCCAAAGAAAGAUUUAAUUGCCCGAGUAGUGAAAAUAAUUGGGAAAAGAAAAGCUAUCGAACUGCUUAUGGAAACAGCUGAAGUGGAACAAAAUGGUGGACUGUUCAUAGUGAACGGCACUAGGAGAAGAACACCAGGGGGCGUUUAUUUAAACCUGCUGAAGAACACACCUAGCAUCAAAGAAGAACAAAUCAAGGAAAUAUUCUAUCUGGAAAACCAAAAGGAGUAUGAAAACAAAAAAGCUGCUAAGAAGAGAAGACUACAAGUUCUAGGGAAGAAGAUGAAAAAAGCCAUUAAAGGGCUUAACCUGCAAGAAUAUGAUGAUGCAUCUCGUGAGACUUUUGCUAGUGAUACGAAUGAGGCUCUGGCUUCCCUAGAUGAUCUACAGGAGGGGCAUCAUGAAGCAAAGAUGGAACCUGAAGAUAUUAUUGAAAUUGAUAAUCCUCAUGAUUUGGAGAUCUUCUAGUUUGGAGAUCUUCUAGUUCUUGACACUAUUUUCCAGUAUGAAGUGUUUCUGAAGUAUUAAUGAAUACACUUUCAAACCCAACAACAAACUUCUGUACAUAAAUUUUGUUCACCUGGAGUCCUUGGCUUUCAGAAGCAAAGCAUAUCACUAAAAUGCAUAAUGAAGUUACAAUAUUGAACAAUUCAGUACUGUCAAGAGCUGGUGUUUAAAGGACUACAGUAUUUGAAGGUUUAUUAACUGCUAUUUGCCAAAAUUCUCGAGCAUGGAUGGAAUGACCCAGAGCUUCCUGUGAUGCCUUGAAAAGAAGACAUGAAGAAUAAUUUGAAUUUAAAGGAAGUGAUAGUGAGAUCAGAAAGGGGUUUUGUCCUGUAUGCAGUUUAAUGGUGGUCCCAUAUUCCCCAAGGUGCUGCUGGGUAUGUGAAGCAACUCGUAUUGAUUGAAUCCAGUUCCAAACAUCAAGCCAGACAGGAAUGGUUUGCUAUUCUCUCUGUAGCAUCUUCAUAGUGCUAGUAGGACAUUUUAUCCUGAAGUUUAUUUCUGUCUAAAACUUCUAUUCUGUUUUUCUUUAUUUUGAUCAUAAUUAAAAAAAAAGUAUGACACUGAUUCCUUUGUGUAGGAGAAAUGGGUAGAGGCAGAUAGUUGGCACAUGCAGGGUUAUUCAUUCUACAGAUAGGUUUAUUAAGGACUCUGAUUUCUGAAAGAUCUACAAGGAGCCAAAGAGUGAGAGGAAGUGAAAAACGGCAAUAACAAGGUAUAAAGAUGAUGGGAGAAGUGAAUGAAAAGGAGAUGACUACAUUAAUUAUGACAGUUGCUGUUACAAAGAGGUUAAAUUCCUCGUAUUUUGUCAGAGUAGAGGUGUGGAGGAGUAGGCUGGGUAAUAAAGAAAAUUACAAGUUUUUCAGAAGAGGUUUCUUUUUUUUUUUUCAAUCUGUCAUAAAACUUCACUAUGACAACCGUUAUUACUUAUCCCCUUAACUUACACCAUCCUCUGCUGCUGCAGUUUUGACACAGAAAAGUCUGCCAGAGGCACUUUUUUAAAGCUUAGUUUUUUGCAAUGUAUGGAGCAGAAUUGUAUUCAUUGCUUCAGUGAAUAUGGGCUUACUUGGUAGCCCACCCCUGUCCCUAAUUCUUACUGGUCAGCAGCACAUCAAAGAUACAAGUCUAUUUCUGAAGUGGUGUGGUACUUCAGUGAUUCUGGUAAUAUCCAGCCUUUGCAUCAUAGUUUAAGGGAUUCAAGCACCUGGCAGAGGUGAUGAUUGUAAUUUCCUAGGACCACCUCUUGUAUUCGGCGGGCAGCUGGAGAGCGUGUUGCACAGUGGCAAUCUUUGGAGCAGCUGUGAAUUCUUGGUAAUUUGGACUUACUGCAUCCUGUCUCACUCAUGAUCUGUCAGGCCCUAGGAAGUCCUUGAAAAACAGAGCUUGGCAAUAUUUAGGAAGGAAGUAUUUUAAGUUCUCUGCAAUACUGAUAGAUGCUACUUAUUCAGUGCUGUGGUAGGAGGAAGGAACACUCAACUCUGAUACGUACAAUACGGCCUAGCCAAACAUAUUUCUAGAAUCACAAGGAUCUGGAGCUAAAUACUGAUGAAAAUGAGAAACAUAUAUCUGAAGUUGUAACAAGAUUCUAUACACAAGUUAGGUAUUCUAGAUACUACCUUUAAGGUAAUUUUUUUCCUUGAGCAGUUUUCAGUUAUUAACAAAAGCAAACCAACAUUUUUCUGUCAUUAAAUAAAUGCAGAAAAAUCUUUCUUAGCUUGAAAACUUCCCUACAAAGAUUUUUUUUUUCCCCUUGAAAGCUCAUUUGUGAUUCAGUAUAUCAGCAUUCUUGUUUAAAACAUCAUGCCUUUGAAAGGUAUUCUCAUUUUUCCCCAGAAGUUGUAGUUUUUUUAAUUUGCCCCCAGAAUUUUUCAUUUGUUCUAUCAGGUCUUUUUUUUUUCAAAUGAUAGUACAGCUAUUUACAGUAAUUAUUUUAUAUUUCUUCUUUAGUUACCACUGAUGAGUUUUGCAUUGACAGCCUUCAACCCCUGGAAUGCCUUAAUUCGUCAUGCAGAACUUGCUGAAUUACAUACUGGGGCUCUGGAAGACAGCUUGUUCUUGGUGCACCAGGAAACAUUUUGCCAUGGAGAUGAAAGAAAAACCCCCAAGAAAAAAUAAAUGCCUUGGGAAAUGUUAGUUGCUGAUAUCCUCAUACAUUCCCAUGUUUCUAGAUACUGGCAACUGUGAUUGCUUUUGCAUGCAGAAAACUCGACCUGCUUCUUCCUCUUAGAAACAAGCUGGAACAGUAUAGUAUGAAACAUUUAAAUAGCAUAUGAAAUUGCUCCAAACUAUUUUCAUUAUAGAGAAAAGUAAAACAACAACUUUGCCUUAAUGUUGACCUACUGUCUUUGAUAAAGAAUAUGCAAGCACAAAAUAUUUUGUAAUCAAGAUUUUGGUGGAAAAGCACAAUGUCUGUGUAUCGUAGAAUCAUAAAUGUUGGAAGGGACCUCAAAGAUCAUCUAGUUCCAACCCCCUUGCCAUGAGCAGGGACAUCCUCCACUAGACCACGUUGCCCAAAGCCUCAUCCAACUGGGCCUUGAGCCCUUCCAGGGAGGGGGCAUCCACAACCUCUCUGGGAGACCUGUUGCAGUGCCUCACCACCCUCACAGUGAAGAAUUUGUUCCUAAAAUCUCAUCUAAAUCUACCCUGCUUCAGCUUAAACCCAUUACCCCUUGUCCUAUGACUACACUCCCUGAUAAACAGUCCCUCACCAGCUUUCCUGUAGGCCCCCUUUAGGCACUGGAAGGCUGCUAUAAAGUCUCCCUGGAGCCUUCUCUUCUCCAGGGUGAACAACCCCAACUCUCUCAGCCUGUCCGCACAGGAGAGGUGCUGCAUCCCUCUGA
Molecule: RNA transcript, 4131 nt
Organism: Grus americana (Whooping crane)
Lineage: Eukaryota; Metazoa; Chordata; Aves; Gruiformes; Gruidae
Gene: PHAX
Gene name: phosphorylated adaptor for RNA export
Exons: 7
Source: RefSeq, a predicted model, not a curated record